GUGGGGAAUAUUGGGCAAUGGGCGAAAGCCUGACCCAGCAACGCCGCGUGAAGGAAGAAGGUCUUCGGAUCGUAAACUUCUAUCCUUGGUGAAGAUAAUGACGGUAGCCGAGAAGGAAGCCCCGGCUAACUACGUGCCAGCAGCCGCGGUAAUACGUAGGGGGCAAGCGUUGUCCGGAAUGAUUGUGCGUAAAGGGCGCGUAGGCGGCCUGGUAAGUCUGGAGUGAAAGUCCUGCUUUUAAGGUGGGAAUUGCUUUGGAUACUGUCGGGCUUGAGUGCAUGAGAGGUAAGUGGAAUUCCCGGUGUAGCGGUGAAAUGCGUAGAGAUCGGGAGGAACACCAGUGGCGAAGGCGACUUACUGGACUGUAACUGACGCUGAGGCGCGAAAGUGUGGGGAGCAAACAGGAUUAGAUACCCGAGUAGUCC
This 425-nucleotide ribosomal RNA is filed under the name uncultured bacterium. Its description in RNAcentral is "partial 16S ribosomal RNA". It matches the Rfam family "Bacterial small subunit ribosomal RNA", at positions 354 to 796 of the family's 1533-position model. The record is from RNAcentral.